AUUGAACGCUGGCGGCAGGCCUAACACAUGCCAGUCGAGCGGAUGAAGGGAGCUUGCUCCUGGAUUCAGCGGCGGACGGGUGAGUAAUGCCUAGGAAUCUGCCUGGUAGUGGGGGAUAACGUCCGGAAACGGGCGCUAAUACCGCAUACGUCCUGAGGGAGAAAGUGGGGGAUCUUCGGACCUCACGCUAUCAGAUGAGCCUAGGUCGGAUUAGCUAGUUGGUGGGGUAAAGGCCUACCAAGGCGACGAUCCGUAACUGGUCGGAGAGGAUGAUCAGUCACACUGGAACUGAGACACGGACCAGACUCCUACGGGAGGCAGCAGUGGGGAAUAUUGGACAAUGGGCGAAAGCCUGAUCCAGCCAUGCCGCGUGUGUGAAGAAGGUCUUCGGAUUGUAAAGCACUUUAAGUUGGGAGGAAGGGCAGUAAGUUAAUACCUUGCUGUUUUGACGGUACCAACAGAAUAAGCACCGGCUAACUUCGUG
Molecule: ribosomal RNA, 484 nt
Filed under: uncultured bacterium
Lineage: Bacteria
Description: partial 16S ribosomal RNA
Rfam family: Bacterial small subunit ribosomal RNA
Source: RNAcentral